GAGCGAAAUUUGUUUGAUUUGAGGAAGUGUAUUCAAUUUUUUGAGUAUAAUCAUCACAUGUUUUUGGGAGAAACUAAAAACAACUUCCUUGCACAAAUUUGACGAACAGCAGAGUGUUCCUGAUGUUGAAUUAAAAUAUUGAAGUUACAUGGAUUAUUUAGGGAAAGUUCGUGAAUACAUUUUGGAAUGGAUUAAAAAUUGUUACAACGAUUUUGAAUGCUAUUAAUACAAAGAUAAAUAUAUUAAACAGUGUAGUGGAAUUUAGCAUU
This is a small nucleolar RNA of Caenorhabditis elegans, 269 nucleotides long. NCBI's taxonomy places the organism in Eukaryota, Metazoa, Nematoda, Chromadorea, Rhabditida, Rhabditidae. The record is from Ensembl.